This 596-nucleotide ribosomal RNA is filed under the name uncultured bacterium. Its description in RNAcentral is "bacterial SSU rRNA". It matches the Rfam family "Bacterial small subunit ribosomal RNA", at positions 337 to 917 of the family's 1533-position model. The record is from RNAcentral.
UCCUACGGGAGGCAGCACUCAGGAAUAUUGGUCAAUGGAGGAGGAGCCUGAUCAGCCACGCCGCGUGCAGGAUUAACGGCUUCGGAUCGUUGAAGUUCGGUUUUGGUGGAAGAUAAUAGAUGGGGCACCGCGCUGCCGUUUUUGCGUUUACCCUUCGUGAUAAGGACCGGCUAAUUACGUGCCAGCGCGCGCGGUAUCUACGAAAUGUGCAGGCUAUUAUCCGGAUUUAUUGGGUUUACAGGGAGUGUAUGCGGUCUGUUAAGCGUGCUCUGAAAUUCAGGUGCUCAACAUCUACCUUGCAGCGCGAACUGAAAGGACUUGACUGCACGCAACGUAUGCAUAAUUCAUGGUGUAGCGGAAAAAUGCUUACAUAUCAUGACUAACUCCCAUUGCCAAAGCCUCAUACGGGAAUGUUACUGACGCUUAAACUCUUAGGUGCCCCUAUCGAACACGAUUAAAUACACUGGUACUCCGCCAGCGGUAAACGAUGGAUGCCCGCUGUUAGCGCCUGGCGUUAGCGGCUAACCCCAAAGCAUUAAGCAUCCCACCUGGGGAGUACGCCGGCNUACGGUGGAAACUCAAAGGAAAUUGACGGA